Molecule: long non-coding RNA, 2923 nt
Organism: Myodes glareolus (Bank vole)
Lineage: Eukaryota; Metazoa; Chordata; Mammalia; Rodentia; Cricetidae
Source: RefSeq, a predicted model, not a curated record
UUGUUGAAGACACCGCAGAAACAGUCCAGAUGCCCCUGUGCUGGACCUGGUCUGAAUGACCCCUCCCUUCAGACUAGCUUUCAUGGUACCAGAAGGUGCAUGCAAGUUUCCAAAGGAGGCAACUAAUAGGCUAACCCAGCUUUGAUGCCUAUGAACCACAUCAACAACCAGCACGGUGUAAAAACCCCACAGAGGUGCAGUAGUCACACACAUAUCUUGGCAGUAACCAAUGGCUAAGUGGACUUAAGACCUGCCCAACAAGAGAUACAUGUCUGGUACUGGAAACCUCGCUAACUUUUAAGUGCUUAUGGCCCAUGGUGAUUGGUGGAGAAUCUACAGCCACUAACUUGCUAAACCAGCAUAAUCCCUAACAGCAAUCUGUAAACGUUUGUCCUUGUGCCCACAGAUAAGUGCAACCUUCAUCCCUCAUCAAGGGAAGUUCUCUUUUCAAUAGACAGAGACCAUUGCGGAAAACCUCAACCAGUUAGUAUAAAAAGGUGUAAAGCCCAUUCGUCCCCAGUGGAUACAUUUACAAAACACUCCCGGACCUGAGGACCAGGGAACGUUGCAGAAGACAGGGGGAAAGACUGUGAGAACCAGAGGAUCAUUUUGAUGUGAGAUUGUGUCUCCUACUGACACCAGAAGCUGUUCCCAUGAAGCUUCACCAACAUGUCUGCCCAUAAGCUUGCUGAACAAGGAGGACUCCAAUGAACAUACCGAAGGGACAGGAAAGCCGAUGAAGUCACAGCCCUACACAAAAAAACCAUAGGCGCCAGGAGACUUCUGGGCUGAGCUCAGCGCUGCACCCUGGCAGUCCUCCCCUGGAAAACCACCAAGACCCACACAGAAGUCCACAGUCCAGAGGACCAUGGCUCCGGAGAGCUGGGGAGACCAGCGGAGAUCAACAGCAAUGACAACAGAGCAUCCAAGUUCCAGGAAUCGCUCAGCCCUCGUCGCCACCUGGCGUGGUUGAUGUCCCUGGGUAUAAUUUGGAGGCGUUAAGAUUUCUUUCUCAGCAGGGCCCUCCAGAGGUUUAAAGGCUAAAAUGAGUGGACACUGGACAAGAGUCUCUGUCAGUGAGGAGAAGUGCCUGUUCAAGAGGUCAUGCCCGCCAGCGCUUUCACAGCCUCAGGUGGCUGGCCAAGCAUCACCUCCCAGUCACUGCCUCUUUGAUCUCAGAUCUUCAGUGGUUGCGUGCAGGGAGAUAGUCAACACACAGCUAAGACUACGGCUUAAGCUUCCUGAGAACUUAGUUUCAGCCGGGCACCGUGCUGUGGUUCUUUUCGCUGGUGGCGGUUGGCCGAUUCCCUCGAUCCCUACGGAGUCCUCUGGCGUAUGCAUAGAUACUGCCACUACUUACAAAAAGGAGCAAGCACAGAGAGUAGAAGUGCACAGGCCCGCAGAGCCGGGGCACACAAGAGGCAGUGUUCAGCUCCCACGGUCCAGUCCCGGAGGCCCUGCUCCCAAGUGUUCUGCGGUAGAGUCGUUACCUCUGUGGACACAAACCCAAUCCCCGCUCAGCCUGAAAGUGGGUAAUAGCAAUGAAAUAUGGGUUACCUCUGGUUAGCGCAAGACCGUGGCCAGAUGGGACUUAGUUCCAUCUGCUUUCCGAGUCAGGGGUAAUUUGAUCUUUUAAUUUAAUAUCACUAAACGGCCACGUGCAAGAAAGGGUUGUGUGUGACCAGAUUAACAUAAUACUAUGUGUCAUGGAUGGACAUUAGCUUGAGUUCAGCUGGAUGUAACAUUUUAGGCCAAAUAUGUCAAAGGAGGAAAGAUCCUUUUAGAGCGCAAUGCUUGGAAACUAACGUUUCAAGAGUUGCAGUGAAAAGUAAGGAUUUCUCGAGACAAAGGAGCUUAGGAAUGAUUUACAGUGACCCCGAAUGAUCAGGGUGAGAUGGGGAAGCAGCUGGUACUAAAGUGGAAGAUGGAGGUACUGAGCUGCAUGGAAAUAGGGGUUGCCAUGGAAGCCUACCAUGCUGGGCAAGGCGGUUCAGAAACACAAGGGACGGCAGAGUCCAGGCCAAGGAUGUAGAUGGGCCAGAUUCUACUUGGAGAGCCCUGCGUGGCUGACAGGAUGUGUCCAAGUUGUCACCCAAACAGGGGUGAGCUACACUGAAUUUCUGCUUCAAUCAAUGGCCACAUAUUUCUUCCUUGGCAAGAGCCAGGACACAGAGAUGAGAUCACAGCUGUCUCAGGAAGUUCAUGUGCCUUCUGGGACAGAUUGGCGGGCAUGUGAUUGCAAUGCUGCAUAAUGAUUAUUUUUAUAGACUUGGCUGGAAUGUGGCUUGAAAGAGCAAAGAGGAAGCUGGUCCAAUACCGAGAAGGUGCAGUCUAAACUACAGCUUGGAGAAGAGCAUGUUUUCUAAGUGGAUGGCCGUGGAGUGCUAUCUCUCUGGACAGAGCGAGCUUCAUUUGCAGGAAGCUGAAUCAGAGCUAGGUAGGUGUGGCUGGGAAAGUGCGAUGUUGGCGUGAUACUGGAGGGCUUGAGCGGGAACAUGUGAUGGAGGAAGGCGGGCAGAACAUGAGUUCAGUUUAAGGAUUUAGUUUGUCCUGAAGGCUCUACUUGCCUGUGGUGGCUUGCAAAGGUCUCCUGCUAGGGGACUAUGCUCCAGGACAGUGUUUUUCAGCACUGUCCCCCGAGGGUCAUAGGUUCCAAGACCCCCAGUGAAUACUACAGGUUGAUCAGGUUCCUUACAUAGAAUGACACAGAUUUGCAUUUCAUGCAUGCACAUCCUUCCAGACACUUUUAGUCCCCUUUCAGUCACCUAUAAUUCCCCAAUGCAGCUAAAUGCUAUGCAGCUAAAUGCUAUGCAGCUAAAUGCUAUGCAGCUAAAUGCUAUGCAGCUAAAUGCUAUGCAGCUAAUUGCUCCACUGUACUAUUUAGGAAACAGCAGUAAGAAUAAAAGUCGGUGUGUGUUCGGUA